This 253-nucleotide ribosomal RNA is filed under the name uncultured bacterium. RNAcentral's name for it is "partial 16S ribosomal RNA". It matches the Rfam family "Bacterial small subunit ribosomal RNA", at positions 524 to 776 of the family's 1533-position model. The record is from RNAcentral.
UACGUAGGGUGCAAGCGUUGUCCGGAAUUAUUGGGCGUAAAGAGCUCGUAGGCGGUUUGUCGCGUCUGCCGUGAAAGUCCGGGGCUCAACUCCGGAUCUGCGGUGGGUACGGGCAGACUAGAGUGGUGUAGGGGAGACUGGAAUUCCUGGUGUAGCGGUGAAAUGCGCAGAUAUCAGGAGGAACACCGAUGGCGAAGGCAGGUCUCUGGGCAUUAACUGACGCUGAGGAGCGAAAGCAUGGGGAGCGAACAGG